RNAcentral lists this transfer RNA (69 nucleotides) under Dipodomys ordii (Ord's kangaroo rat). It matches the Rfam family "tRNA". From Rfam's summary of the family: Transfer RNA (tRNA) molecules are approximately 80 nucleotides in length. Their secondary structure includes four short double-helical elements and three loops (D, anti-codon, and T loops). The record is from Rfam by way of RNAcentral. Lineage: Eukaryota; Metazoa; Chordata; Mammalia; Rodentia; Heteromyidae.
GGGAAUGUGGCUUCACGGUAGAGUGCUUGCCUAGCAUGCAUGAAGCCCUGGGUUCCAUUCUCAGCACCA